Manis pentadactyla (Chinese pangolin) is the source of this 1365-nucleotide long non-coding RNA. RefSeq lists it as uncharacterized. Lineage: Eukaryota; Metazoa; Chordata; Mammalia; Pholidota; Manidae. The transcript has 3 exons. The record is from RefSeq and is a predicted model, not a curated record.
CUGACUUGGCAGCCCUUGAAUCACCAAGGGAGUUCCCAAACUCAUCUGAAUCACCUGGAGGUGGUUGUGAAAAAUACAGUUUCCCGGGUGGCUAAACCCAGACACUCAGCUAGGAUAGGGCCCAGGAAUUUCCCUGCAUUUGUAACAGGCACCCCGAUGAUUCUGAAGAUGGUCCGAGAACCAAACUGGGAAGCACUGGUCUGAGUCCUCUGCAAGAAGUUGGUUGAAGUACGGUUGUGAAUGGGGAACAAGGAAGCCACAGUGCUGUCUGAAGGCUGGGUGGUGGACUGAUACCCAUUAUCAUGUUCACACAGUAAAACAUCCCAGAAAAAGCAUCAGAAGACCUGGAAUCUAAUCCUGCCUCUAGCACUUACCUGCAGUGAGGUCUUGGACCAACUACUCAAUCUCUCUGAGCCUCAAUAACCCCCUUGCUAAGGUGGGAAUAAAAUGUGACCUCAUACAGGUGAAACGUGUGCUUUCAAAGGGAAAAAGCACCUUGCAAGGGAGGUCUAAUUUUCUCCAGUGGUCCAGUGACUGCCUAAUUCUGGACUGGGCCACAUUCACUAUCAUAUUUGCCGGUGAGGUUUUGAAUAAGUGCAGUAAGUCAGCCAUUCCCACAUGCUAUGAUUGCCAGGUGGGGUUUUGCUCUACCUCAGUUAUCCCUGGUUGCAUCAAAAAAUAUUUUGAAUCCUCAAAUGCUUUUCAGUGACAAUUGAAGUAUGUUCUGCUUCUGGCUGGGUUUGAGUUUUAAACUAAUAAAUGAUAGACAGUGGCAAACUCCACUAAUUUAGGAAGAUAAUGCCUGAAAGGGUUAAAAGGUAUCUCUGCAAAAGGCCUAAUUAGAGGGUAGUUGUGCAAUGGUAAUCUCUAACCUGGACCGUGGUCAUGGUAUUUCAUAUUUUAAUAGCUCUUUCCCCACCAUUACAUCACAUAUGGUAGAGUCAGUUAGCUGGCCUCAAAUUACUUCUGAGAUACAGAGAGGUUGAUAUUAUUCACACCAUUUCCUAAAGGAGGAACUGAAGCAGAGAGAGGUUAAGUAAUUUGACCAGGAUUACAGAAUGGGUGAGCUAGGAGUAAAAUGUUAUGUUUCUUUACUCUUUUUUUACUUACUGAGAAAAUUGUCCUAAGAUGUCACCUUGCAAAUAGGAUCACAGCAUGUGAAGUGGACAUGCUCGGGGCCACUGCUGACAACAGGAACUAGGUCCCAUUAUUGAGGAGAAUACUUAGCAUUUAUUUCUGAACACUUAGAACAGUAAACUAGAAGGCAAAAAUAUGCAAAAUGCAAAAAUACAGAAGAAUCCCUCUUAUUGUAAAGAGAUUUCUCAAAUGUUUUUUAAAGAUCUUUAAAUACUUAGUGGGAGAAAU